RNAcentral lists this long non-coding RNA (1590 nucleotides) under Eucalyptus grandis. RNAcentral describes it as "long non-coding RNA (EGRA_LNC000850)". The record is from RNAcentral. Lineage: Eukaryota; Viridiplantae; Streptophyta; Magnoliopsida; Myrtales; Myrtaceae.
UUCAAAAUACUUUCUCCCCUUCAGGUUCCUCUUCCUUAGCUUCUCCUCAGGGUCCUGAAAUGGUUAUUCAAUAACCAAUGAGACCACGUCUCAGCGAGUCCUACCCCCUACGACUCGAUUAGUAAACUAAUACACCAUACGGUUGCCUAAACACAACACGAGUCAGAGGACUUACCUUAGCCUCAGUUCCAACCUGCAAUUCAAGGUUAAACAUAGAUAUUCAAACAAUUCACGACAUCCGAUCAAGCAUUGAUCAAUCGACUUAGUCGAUUACAUGUCAAUCUGACCAUCUCUAGGUCAUUCCCACUCAUACCACGCUUUCUCAGUGGUGUACUCAUUCACCAAAUCACAUGUGUUUCUCGGGCGUCGUUUUCGCCAAUGACAUACCGAUCACCGACACCGUGCGUUCUUUAAGGCGCCGUUUUCACCAGUGAUAACCUUGAUCACCGAACCACGUGUCCUUUCAAGGGCGCCGUUUUCGCCAAGGUGACAUCGGCUAUAGACAACAUCGUGCGUUCUUUAAGGCGCCGUUUUCACCAGUGAUAUUCCCAUAAUCACCGAACCACGUUGUCUAUAAGUCAUUUACGUGCAUUCUUAAGGCGUUUCGCCAGUGAUACUUCCAAUCACCGAACCACGUAUGUCCAAUCAUAUCGUACUGAUUGGUCUCACCAUUCUCCCCUAACUAUAUAGCCCAUCAACGUACUGGCGCUAUAUAUCCAUGCUUUAGCCAUUACCAAUCAAAUACUCAAUAACAAACAAUUUAGGACAAUUCCUAAAAUUCCACAAUAAAUUCAAUUCCACACAACGUAGAGCUCAAAUAAAUAAACGGUCUGCACCACGACAAUCGGCACGAAAUUCCGGUCACCGGCCAUCCCGGUUGAAUUUCCGGAAAAAUAAUUAAUUAAAUAAAUAAAUUUCGAAAAUAAAUAAAUAAACAUUGAAAAUCCAAUUUAGGCCCAUAUUGCCUUAUUGGAGCCCGAAACGGGUCGGGAAAAAUCCCGAGAUACAUUCAAUAAAUAACCAAACAUUUCUACUUGCUAAUAGCUAGGUCUAACCACCUAACAUGCAUCAUUAAGUCACUAAAUUAAUUGUUCUAACCUAAUCUAACCACCUAAUUGCACUUAAUUAAAUCUAACCAACCUUAAGCAUAAUUAGCAAACUAAUAAAGCAUUAGUGAGUAAAACUCACUUGAUCAAAAGCGGAGAUCGAAUCACCGCAACGGCGACGCGACGGCGGCCGAAAUAGGACUUUCGACGACACCGGCGAACUCGGACCGGGCCUUAAGCUUAGGCCCAACAAAUCUCAGUCCAAUUGAGAUUUGUUCUUGCACUGGAAUGGGCCUGCUCUUGGACUUGGGCCUAGCUGCGACUGGGCUUCAAAAACUGGGCUUGAAAUAAAACUGAAUUGGGCUUGUCCUUGCUGGGCCCAAAAGACUGAAAUUACUGGGCUUCUAAUCCAAUUUAUGCUGGGCUAGAAAUGCCUCUGCAGAUGGGCUGAAGCAAGCUCAACUGGAGAUGGGCUUUGCUGGGCGUGGAACCUGGUCUUGGGCUGCAAAUACACGGACGACUGGGCUUGGAAUUCGCUGGGCUG